GGACGAACGCUGGCGGCGUGCUUAACACAUGCAAGUCGAGCGGUAAGGCCCUUUCGGGGGUACGACGAGCGGCGAACGGGUGAGUAACACGUGGGUGACCUGCCCUUAGCUCUGGGAUAAGCCUGGGAAACUGGGUCUAAUACCGGAUAUGACUCCAUAACGCAUGUUGUGGGGUGGAAAGCCUUGUGCGGCUAGGGAUGGGCCCGCGGCCUAUCAGCUUGUUGGUGGGGUGAUGGCCCACCAAGGCGACGACGGGUAGCCGGCCUGAGAGGGCGACCGGCCACACUGGGACUGAGACACGGCCCAGACUCCUACGGGAGGGCAGCAGUGGGGAAUCUUGCGCAAUGGGCGAAAGCCUGACGCAGCGACGCCGCGUGGGGGAGUGACGG
Molecule: ribosomal RNA, 389 nt
Filed under: uncultured bacterium
Lineage: Bacteria
Description: bacterial SSU rRNA
Rfam family: Bacterial small subunit ribosomal RNA
Source: RNAcentral